AUGUGCUGGAAGAGGCCCUGCUUGUGAGAGGACGUCUCUAUCCCAGUGCCCAUGACCAGCCCUCCUGCAGGAAACAUCACAGCCUCAGUAACCAAGGCAAAAGAAAGAAUAUCUAGGAUCUCAUAUAAGUAAGUGAGAGAAACCUCAAGAGGGAUGUGCAGCUUACCAACAGUGAGGUCAUCCAUCUCUGGCACCACAGGGAUGGUCCACCCUAGCUCCACCAGGGUGUGGGUAAGCUGGCCCAUGGUCACCAGUGGCUCACACCACACUGUCUGUUAACACCACCACAGAUACGGUAUCCGCUCAUGUCAUCCCAGAGGGCCCAGUGCAGGGAGCAGGGGUGAUGACGUC
This is a long non-coding RNA of Portunus trituberculatus (swimming crab), 351 nucleotides long. RefSeq lists it as uncharacterized. The transcript is spliced from 3 exons. The record is from RefSeq and is a predicted model, not a curated record. NCBI's taxonomy places the organism in Eukaryota, Metazoa, Arthropoda, Malacostraca, Decapoda, Portunidae.